Rhinolophus ferrumequinum (greater horseshoe bat) is the source of this 463-nucleotide long non-coding RNA. RefSeq lists it as uncharacterized. NCBI's taxonomy places the organism in Eukaryota, Metazoa, Chordata, Mammalia, Chiroptera, Rhinolophidae. The transcript is spliced from 2 exons. The record is from RefSeq and is a predicted model, not a curated record.
CCCACCCGGUGGUUCAAGUGUGCUGAGGGGCUGACACAGAAAAGCCGGGAGGCUGCAGGGUGAAGGCUCCAUGGAGGAGGUGGUGCAGGCGCUUUUGAGAGGUAGACCUGACAGCAGAUCCUGAGAAUAUGUGACCCUCCAUGGAGAAAAGGACUUUGCAGGUGUGAUGAAGCUAUGGAAGAUUAUUCUGGAUUAUCCAGGUGGGCUCCACAUAAUCACAAGGGUCCUUAUAAGAGGGCGGCAGGAAGGUCAGAGUGAGAUGUGAUGACUGAAGAAAGAGGCUGGAGGAACGUGAAAAAGAGGCCACAGAGCCAAGGAUGCAGGUGGCCUCCAGAAGCUGAAAAAGACAAAGAAAUGGAUUCUCCCCUAGGGGUUCGAGAAGGAUCCAGCCCUGCAGACACCUUGCUUUUAGGCUGCUUGUCUCUAGAACUACAAGAGAAUAAAUGUGUGUUGUUUUAAGCCA